GUAGGGAAUCUUGGACAAUGGAGGAAACUCUGAUCCAGCCAUGCCGCGUGAGUGAUGAAGGCCUUCGGGUUGUAAAACUCUUUCGACGGGGACGAUAAUGACGGUACCCGUAGAAGAAGCUCCGGCUAACUUCGUGCCAGCAGCCGCGGUAAUACGAAGGGGGCUAGCGUUGUUCGGAUUUACUGGGCGUAAAGCGCGCGCAGGCGGCUUUGCAAGUUGAGGGUGAAAUCCCAGAGCUCAACUCUGGAAUUGCCUUCAAGACUGUGAGGCUUCGAGUACGGGAGAGGUGAGUGGAAUUCCCAGUGUAGAGGUGAAAUUCGUAGAUAUUGGGAAGAACACCGGUGGCGAAGGCGGCUCACUGGCCCGUUACUGACGCUCAGGCGCGACAGCGUGGGGAUCAAACAGGAUUAGAUACCCCUGUAGUCC
This 426-nucleotide ribosomal RNA is filed under the name uncultured bacterium. RNAcentral describes it as "bacterial SSU rRNA". It matches the Rfam family "Bacterial small subunit ribosomal RNA", at positions 354 to 796 of the family's 1533-position model. The record is from RNAcentral.